GACGAACGCUGGCGGCGUGCUUAACACAUGCAAGUCGAACGGAAAGGCCCUUCGGGGUACUCGAGUGGCGAACGGGUGAGUAACACGUGGGUGAUCUGCCCUGCACUUUGGGAUAAGCCUGGGAAACUGGGUCUAAUACCGAAUAUGAUCAUCGGCUUCAUGGUCGGUGGUGGAAAGCUUUUGCGGUGUGGGAUGGGCCCGCGGCCUAUCAGCUUGUUGGUGGGGUAAUGGCCUACCAAGGCGACGACGGGUAGCCGGCCUGAGAGGGUGACCGGCCACACUGGGACUGAGAUACGGCCCAGACUCCUACGGGAGGCAGCAGUGGGGAAUAUUGCACAAUGGGCGCAAGCCUGAUGCAGCGACGCCGCGUGAGGGAUGACGGCCUUCGGGUUGUAAACCGCUUUCAGCACAGACGAAGCGCAAGUGACGGUAUGUGCAGAAGAAGGACCGGCCAACUACGU
RNAcentral lists this ribosomal RNA (461 nucleotides) under uncultured bacterium. Its description in RNAcentral is "partial 16S ribosomal RNA". It matches the Rfam family "Bacterial small subunit ribosomal RNA", at positions 28 to 506 of the family's 1533-position model. The record is from RNAcentral.